RNAcentral lists this ribosomal RNA (1033 nucleotides) under Pseudomonas sp. MZ-11. RNAcentral's name for it is "partial 16S ribosomal RNA". The record is from RNAcentral. Lineage: Bacteria; Pseudomonadati; Pseudomonadota; Gammaproteobacteria; Pseudomonadales; Pseudomonadaceae.
GGUAACCAGGCUGUACGAACCGGUAGAACGAGCGUGCAUCUUGUCGUCUACCAAGUGGUUCAGCUUCAGCAUGUACAUGUAGCCAACAGUAACCGGGCGCUCGAACUUGUUGCCGGUACGGCCGUCGAACAGCUGCAUCUGGCCGCUUUCUGGCAGGUCUGCCAGUUUGAGCAUGGCCUUGAUUUCGCUUUCCUUGGCACCGUCGAACACCGGGGUAGCCAUUGGAACGCCGCCGCGCAGGUUCUUCGCCAGAUCCAGGAUUUCCUGGUCGGAGAAGGUGUCCAGCUCUUCGUUGCGACCGCCGAUCUCGUUGUAGAUCUCGUGCAGGAACUUACGCAGGUCUGCGACUUUGCGCUGCUCUUCGAUCAUACGGUUGAUCUUCUCGCCCAGACCUUUGGCCGCGAGGCCCAGGUGGGUUUCAAGGAUCUGACCAACGUUCAUACGCGAAGGUACGCCCAACGGGUUGAGGACGACGUCGACCGGGGUGCCAUUGGCAUCGUGCGGCAUGUCUUCAACCGGCAUGAUCACAGAGACCACACCCUUGUUACCGUGACGACCGGCCAUCUUGUCGCCCGGUUGGAUGCGGCGACGGAUUGCCAGGUAAACCUUGACGAUUUUCAGCACGCCUGGAGCCAGGUCAUCGCCCUGCUGCAGUUUGCGCUUCUUGUCUUCGAACUUGUCGUCCAGCAGACGGCGGCGAUCAACGAUAUAGGCCUGGGCCUUCUCGAGCUGCUCGUUCAGAGCGUCUUCAGCCAUGCGCAGUUUGAACCACUGGCCGUGCUCAAGACCGUCGAGAAUUUCGUCGGUGAUGUCCUGACCUUUCUUCAGACCUGCGCCGCCUUCAGCCUUGUGGCCUACCAGAGCGGAACGCAGACGUUCGAAGGUCGCGCCUUCAACGAUACGGAACUCUUCGUUCAGGUCCUUGCGGAUCUCGUCGAGCUGGGUCUUCUCGAUGGACAGUGCACGAGCAUCACGCUCAACGCCGUCACGGGUGAAGACCUGUACGUCGAUGACAGUACCCUUGGUACCGGUA